Molecule: ribosomal RNA, 380 nt
Filed under: uncultured eukaryote
Lineage: Eukaryota
Description: partial 18S ribosomal RNA
Rfam family: Eukaryotic small subunit ribosomal RNA
Source: RNAcentral
CAAUAGCGUAUAUUAAAGUUGUUGCGGUUAAAAAGCUCGUAGUUGGAUUUCUGCUGAGGACGAUCGGUCCGCCCACUGGGUGAGUAUCUGGCUCGGCCUUGGCAUCUUCUUGGAGAACGUUGCUGCACUUGACUGUGUGGUGCGGUAUCCAGGACUUUUACUUUGAGGAAAUUAGAGUGUUUCAAGCAGGCGCACGCCUUGAAUACAUUAGCAUGGAAUAAUAAGAUAGGACCUUAGUUCUAUUUUGUUGGUUUCUAGAGCUGAGGUAAUGAUUAAUAGGGAUAGUUGGGGGCAUUCGUAUUUAACUGUCAGAGGUGAAAUUCUUGGAUUUGUUAAAGACGGACUACUGCGGAAGCAUUUGCCAAGGAUGUUUUCAUUGA